GCAUAUCAAUAAGCGGAGGAAAAGAAACCAACAGGGAUUGCCUCAGUAACGGCGAGUGAAGCGGCAACAGCUCAAAUUUGAAAUCUGACCUCUUUGGGGUCCGAGUUGUAAUUUGUAGAGGAUGUUUCGGGGCACCGCUCCGGUUUAAAUUUCUUGGAACAGAAUGUCAAAGAGGGUGAGAACCCCGUCUUGGACCGGCAGUAGGGCCCAUGUGAAACUCCUUCGACGAGUCGAGUUGUUUGGGAAUGCAGCUCAAAAUGGGUGGUAAAUUUCAUCUAAAGCUAAAUAUUGGCCAGAGACCGAUAGCGCACAAGUAGAGUGAUCGAAAGAUGAAAAGCACUUUGAAAAGAGAGUUAAACAGUACGUGAAAUUGUUGAAAGGGAAGCGCUUGCAACCAGACUUGCGCGCGGCGGUUCCCCCUUCCUUUUGGUUGGGUUAUUCCGCCGUGUCCAGGCCAACAUCGGUUCUGGGGGUCGGUUAAAGGCCUGGGGAAUGUAUCUACCCUUCGGGCGUAGACUUAUAGCCCCGGGUGUCAUGCGACCUCCCGGGACCGAGGAACGCGCUUCGGCUCGGAUGUUGGCGUAAUGGUUGUCAGCGACCCGUCUUGAAACACGGACCAAGGAGUCUAACAUCUAUGCGAGUGUUUGGGUGUCAAACCCGGAACGCGGAAUGAAAGUGAACGGAGGUAGGAAGCUUCGGCUGCACUAUCGACCGAUCCUGAUGUCUUCGGAUGGAUUUGAGUAAGAGCAUAGCUGUUGGGACCCGAAAGAUGGUGAACUAUGCCUGAAUAGGGUGAAGCCAGAGGAAACUCUGGUGGAGGCUCGCAGCGGUUCUGACGUGCAAAUCGAUCGUCAAAUUUGGGUAUAGGGGCGAAAGACUAAUCGAACCAUC
This 891-nucleotide ribosomal RNA is filed under the name Exophiala dermatitidis. RNAcentral describes it as "LSU rRNA". It matches the Rfam family "Eukaryotic large subunit ribosomal RNA", at positions 38 to 944 of the family's 3401-position model. Lineage: Eukaryota; Fungi; Ascomycota; Eurotiomycetes; Chaetothyriales; Herpotrichiellaceae. The record is from RNAcentral.